This 253-nucleotide ribosomal RNA is filed under the name uncultured bacterium. RNAcentral's name for it is "partial 16S ribosomal RNA". It matches the Rfam family "Bacterial small subunit ribosomal RNA", at positions 524 to 776 of the family's 1533-position model. The record is from RNAcentral.
UACGUAGGGCGCAAGCGUUGUCCGGAAUUAUUGGGCGUAAAGAGCUCGUAGGCGGCCUGUCGCGUCUGCUGUGAAAUCCCGGGGCUCAACCCCGGGCCUGCAGUGGAUACGGGCUGGCUGGAGGCAGGCAGGGGAGAACGGAAUUCCUGGUGUAGCGGUGAAAUGCGCAGAUAUCAGGAGGAACACCGGUGGCGAAGGCGGUUCUCUGGGCCUGUUCUGACGCUGAGGAGCGAAAGCGUGGGGAGCAAACAGG